GUCUACGGCCGUGCUACCCUGAAUGUACCCGAUUUCAUCUGUUCUUGGAAGCUAAGCAGGGUCGAGCCUGGUUAGUACUAGGAUGGGAGACUGCCUAGGAAUACCAGGUGCUGUAGGUG
Ribosomal RNA from Pteropus vampyrus (large flying fox), 119 nucleotides. The record is from Ensembl. NCBI's taxonomy places the organism in Eukaryota, Metazoa, Chordata, Mammalia, Chiroptera, Pteropodidae.